This 451-nucleotide ribosomal RNA is filed under the name uncultured bacterium. RNAcentral's name for it is "bacterial SSU rRNA". It matches the Rfam family "Bacterial small subunit ribosomal RNA", at positions 29 to 524 of the family's 1533-position model. The record is from RNAcentral.
AACGAACGCUGGCGGCAGGCUUAACACAUGCAAGUCGAACGCCCCUUCGGGGGGAGUGGCAGACGGGUGAGUAACGCGUGGGAAUCUACCCAGUGGUACGGAACAACACAGAGAAAUUUGUGCUAAUACCGUAUACGCCCUUUUGGGGGAAAGAUUUAUCGCCAUUGGAUGGGCCCGCGUUUGAUUAGCUAGUUGGUGAGGUAAUGGCUCACCAAGGCGACGAUCAAUAGCUGGUCUGAGAGGAUGAUCAGCCACACUGGGACUGAGACACGGCCCAGACUCCUACGGGAGGCAGCAGUGGGGAAUAUUGGACAAUGGGCGCAAGCCUGAUCCAGCCAUGCCGCGUGAGUGAUGAAGGCCCUAGGGUUGUAAAGCUCUUUCAACGGUGAAGAUAAUGACGGUAACCGUAGAAGAAGCCCCGGCUAAACUUCGUGCCAGCAGCCGCGGUAAU